Molecule: small nuclear RNA, 118 nt
Organism: Neltuma alba
Lineage: Eukaryota; Viridiplantae; Streptophyta; Magnoliopsida; Fabales; Fabaceae
Product: U5 spliceosomal RNA
Exons: 1
Source: RefSeq, a predicted model, not a curated record
AAUCACUGUGGUGAGCUUACAGCGAACUAUUCUUUCGCCUUUUACUAAAGAAUACCAUACGCUCGCCACUUGAAGCAGCAUACGCCUAUUUUUGGAGGAGUCCUCUUCAGUGAGAACU